AGUGAACGCUGGCGGUAGGCCUAACACAUGCAGGUCGAACGGCAGCACAGUAAGAGCUUGCUCUUACGGGUGGCGAGUGGCGGACGGGUGAGGAAUACAUCGGAAUCUACUUUUUCGUAGGGGAUAACGUAGGGAAACUUACGCUAAUACCGCAUACGACCUACGGGUGAAAGCAGGGGAUCUUCGGACCUUGCGCGAUUGAAUGAGCCGAUGUCGGAUUAGCUAGUUGGCGGGGUAAAGGCCCACCAAGGCGACGAUCCGUAGCUGGUCUGAGAGGAUGAUCAGCCACACUGGAACUGAGACACGGUCCAGACUCCUACGGGAGGCAGCAGUGGGGAAUAUUGGACAAUGGGCGCAAGCCUGAUCCAGCCAUACCGCGUGGGUGAAGAAGGCCUUCGGGUUGUAAAGCCCUUUUGUUGGGAAAGAAAAGCAGCAGGUUAAUACCCCGCUGUUCUGACGGUACCCAAAGAAUAAGCACCGGCUAACUUCGUG
This 492-nucleotide ribosomal RNA is filed under the name uncultured bacterium. RNAcentral's name for it is "partial 16S ribosomal RNA". It matches the Rfam family "Bacterial small subunit ribosomal RNA", at positions 29 to 507 of the family's 1533-position model. The record is from RNAcentral.